This is a non-coding RNA of Taeniopygia guttata (zebra finch), 926 nucleotides long. NCBI's taxonomy places the organism in Eukaryota, Metazoa, Chordata, Aves, Passeriformes, Estrildidae. The record is from RefSeq and is a predicted model, not a curated record.
UCUAUCUUAAAACAGAGAAGAGGAGGGGAAUUCCACAUUAGCUAAAGGUUGUGCUUUCACAGUGCUACUUGUGAGUACACAGCAAAACAAGAAACAAUACACAAAAUGACAUCACAGCAUGACUGCAUUAGACCAGGAAUGUGCUUAGGAUCACCCUCCAGGCUGAUGACUCAGGCAACAACCUCCUCAGAGAGUGAAUGAGGAGAUGAUCCUUGUUCCCAUCCCUUCAAAACAAUGGAAGUUUGAGUGGAAGGAACUCUAUCAGCAGCUGCAUCCAUCUCCAGCCAUAUCUUCCAGAGGCACAUGGAGACUGCCAGGUGAGCUGUCCCCCAAGGGCAGCACACUCAACUCUUUAUUCCACCUUCCACUCCACUCCAGGACUCUCCUAAGAGCCCUGCAAAACUCUCAGAUAAGACCAGGCCUGCAGUUCACCGUGUGAACAAUUGUCUGUCUCCCUGUCCAUCCAUCUGAUUUGGAGAAGUAAGCCCAAUUAAAAGCUUUGCACUUGGGCACCCUGACAUGCUUUUCCUUGUCUCAGUCAUGCUCAGCUGCCCAGCCUCACCUCAAUUAGUUCUGCAGGUCACUCCUGGAGCAGCUUUCAUCACACAUUAGAUUUUCUGCCCUCCAGGAAGGCUCUGCUUCAGAUCAGGUUUGCAUUUAACACAGCAGCAAAGAUUUCAGCUUUCCAGAAGGAUACAUUUCAUCUGACUGUAAAGCCCUAAGUAUUUCAGGAUCCCUCUUCAAGACACAAAUCCUUGGCAGUAUUUUUUUUUUAGGGAAGUUUCUAAACUUCACAGAUAAAGCAGUCAAACCCUAGACAGGACAUGCAGAAAUCAGGAGGCCAAGAAACUCUUACCUGUCCAGGCCUCCAACCAUGAGGAGCUGCUUGAACUGCUGAGGACUCUGUGGCAGAGAGUAGAACUUGC